This is a non-coding RNA of Coturnix japonica (Japanese quail), 1217 nucleotides long. The record is from RefSeq and is a predicted model, not a curated record. Lineage: Eukaryota; Metazoa; Chordata; Aves; Galliformes; Phasianidae.
UGCACCUGUGUGGAGUUUACUGUGAACCUUCAACAUCAAAUCACAGAUUCAGAGAGAAGAGUGUUCUGCAGCCAGAGGGGAUGUAGAAACAAACUAGCUGUGACAGAGACCUGAUGCAGAUAGGCGUGACCUGGAGGUGAGGAGCCCACUGGCAUGAAGGCUGGCCAAGCCCUGGAGAGGACAGCCUCUGUCCACCAGCUUGCAGAAGGGGUUACAUGCCAAAGGACUCUCCCACAACUUCUGCUGAAAAACUCUUAUCAGAGAUGGCAAAACCAGACUUUUUAGAUUUCACGUGGAUUCACAUUUGUUACAUAAUGCACCCGUGCUUUAUGUUUUCUAAAGGAUUAUGAAAGAAAACCAUUUGACUUCCUCGGGUUUCCAGUGAUGUUCACAUCCCUCUGGGCUGUUUGAAAUGCUUGAUUGAGAUCAUAUGGUGUGCUUACAGAUGUGGUAUGCUUAUUCAGUUGUGUGUCUGUAUUUAAAGUCAGUUUAUGUGCAUCCCAGUUUGUAUAAAUGUAUGUAAAGAUAUCUAGAAACAUACAAAUGUAUUUAUAUAAAACUAGAUCACUCUGUAUCUCCCAAGGACAAAUGCCUUAUUUUGACACAUUAUGCUGAGGUACUUCUGUUAUGACAUGGUGUUAGCCUUCAUGUCACUGUUGCUUAUCAUCUUUUGCACUCAGUCCACCUUCCAGCUAAACUGGAAGGAAGUAUUGAGUUUGAGGUACCAUAAAUGCUAGAUGUUUGUGGGAUGACAUUUUAUAUGUGCUAUUUUAUUUUUAAAUUUCCUACAAGUUGUUUCAGCUGCUGAUUUUCAGUGUUGCUGCUGUUGCUAAUCUGGCAAACAAAGUGCAUUAACUAUGUCUGUUUGGUGAUCACGUUGGUGAAGUGCUGAGAAAAAGUGCUAUUAUUUUGUAAAGGAUGUUGUUUCUGUGUUUCCUUGUCCCUUUCUGUGUUUCUUAUCAUUCAUAUUCAACUGAGCUCCAUUUGUUUUACAAAUGGAAAGGAAAAAGUCCAUCAGAACCAAGUUAAAGGGAUGCUUAAUUAAGUCCAGUGUCCCAGGUUCUUUCUGAUAAUGCUCCCAAAGGAAAACAGUAAAAUAAUGGUUUUCAAUAUGACCUGUUUCUGACAAUGUCAUCGUCUCACCUGUGAACUCAUUGUUUCUCAUCUGGCAUGAAAUGGUAAUGAAAAUCUAUAAAUUAAACAUUUUAUUUUUUUUA